Molecule: non-coding RNA, 107 nt
Organism: Brassica napus (rape)
Lineage: Eukaryota; Viridiplantae; Streptophyta; Magnoliopsida; Brassicales; Brassicaceae
Source: Rfam
AAACCAUGGUGUGGGCAUUGAGCUUGGUAGCCCUUGAAUCUCUCUCAGGCUUCACUGAAGCCUUCUAAGUUCUUCUGUUGAAAGCUGGAAAUCUUGUUUCUCAGCUU